This is an RNA transcript of Erpetoichthys calabaricus (reedfish), 3407 nucleotides long. It is a transcript of the gene named AE binding protein 2, with no coding region annotated. The transcript is spliced from 9 exons. The record is from RefSeq and is a predicted model, not a curated record. NCBI's taxonomy places the organism in Eukaryota, Metazoa, Chordata, Cladistia, Polypteriformes, Polypteridae.
AACAACCAGAUGGCGCGUAUUCGAUGUCACGUGUACCGCUGCAUGCAAGCGCCAGAGACACCCGUGUAUUUUGACCUUCUGUGCUACUCGUAGCGCGUGCUCGUGUGGCAUCAGCUACUAGCCUUUCCCCUCCCCUUUCCAUACACCCCCUCUCUCCGUCCUGUUUCGUCGCUGCGUUUCUGACGAGACAGGGUUUUUUUUUUUUUUUUUUUUUUUUCAAAAUAUGGCCGCCGCUUCUUCAGAUAGCAGUGGCGAGAAGGACAGCCCCGCAAGUAGUAGCGAGGGUAGUCAAGUGCGGUGUACCAACACCAACGACCAGCCACCUCCAUCAGCUGUACAGAAGAUGGGAGCAGAGGGUAAAAGGGGCGCUGUUGAAGAGGAGGAGGAGGAUGAAGAAGAAGAAGAAGAAGAUGGUGAUGAUGAAGACGACAACGAAGUGGAGGAAGAUGACGAGAUGGGCAGCGAUAGUGCUGGUGGCGAAGAGGAGAGUUGCGAGCAGAGGAGUCCGGACAGUAGCCAGGGCGAUGUGGGCAAAGGUGACCCUAAGGUAGAGAGCGAGUCAUCAUCGUCCUACUCCAGUGACUGCAAGGAUCAGACUCGCAACCGGCCGGAGAGUAACGGCGAGCAAAACGGCGGCGGCGACGGCGGAGGAGGAGGAGCAGGAGGAGGAGGCUGUGGCGGCGGUGGUGGUGCGGGUGGUGGUAGCAGUAGUUGUGGUGGCAGAGGUGUAUCAGAAGGUGGCGGCCAGCGUAGAGCCAGCAUGGAAAUGAGUUCUUCGGAUGGAGAGCCACUGAGCCGCAUGGACUCCGAGGACAGCAUUAGCAGCACCUUAAUGGACCAAGAUAGCAUCAUAUCCAGUGGGCGGUCAACACCAGCUAUGAUGAAUGGUAAAAGUAUUGCCUACACCUGCUGCUGGGACCAGUGCCAUGCUUGCUUCAAUUCCAGUCCUGACUUAGCAGAGCACAUUCGCUCUGUUCAUGUUGAUGGCCAGCGUGGUGGGGUAUUUGUGUGCUUAUGGAAAGGCUGCAAAGUGUACAAUACUCCAUCAACCAGCCAGAGCUGGCUUCAGAGGCACAUGUUGACACACAGUGGAGACAAGCCUUUUAAGUGUGUGGUGGGUGGGUGUAAUGCAAGUUUUGCAUCACAAGGUGGCCUCGCCCGGCAUGUCCCCACACAUUUCAGCCAGCAGAAUUCUUCAAAAGUUUCCAACCCACCAAAGGUCAAGGAGGAAUCUCCAUCUAAAGCAGGAAUGAACAAGCGAAGACGUUUAAAAAACAAGCGUAGAAGGUCACUACCAAGGCCGCAUGACUUCUUUGAUGCUCAGAUAAUGGAUGCAAUUCGGCACCGAGCCAUUUGCCUAAACUUGGCAACACACAUUGAGAGUCUAGGCAAUGGCCAUAGUGUUGUUUUCCACAGCACGAUAAUAGCAAGAAGAAAAGAAGAGUCUGGGAAGAUUAAGGUUCUACUUCACUGGACACCUGAGGACAUUUUACCAGAUGUGUGGGUAAAUGAAAAUGACCGACCUCAGCUGAAAACAAAAGUUGUACAUUUAUCAAAGCUGCCACAAGACACAGCGGUUCUUUUGGAUCCAAAUAUUUACAGGAACACCUGGAUGGGAAAAUGUUCUAUGGAUGGAUGAGACAGAAAUGGAACUUUUUGGACAACAUGAAUCUUAAUAUGUCUGGUGCAAAGAAAACCGCACUCCACGGCAGCAACAUCAUUCUCAACAGUCAAACAUGGUGGUGUUUUGCAGCAUCAGGCCCCGGACCACUUGUCAUAAUUGAAGGAAGCAGAAAGUCUGAAAAUUAGAAGAUUGCCUGGUCAUCCAUCCUUGACCUAAAACUGAAGCAUAUUUGGGUCAUGUUGCAAGACCACAAAAGCAAAUCCACAUCCAAAUUGGUGAAAUGAAAUAUAAUUAAAGUUUUGGCCUCCUCUACUCAAAGUUCACCUAAAACUAAUACAGAUGCUGUGGCAGACCUGAGCUUGAAACAUGUUUUUAAAUAAAGUAGUUUUUCAAAAUUCUUCCACAGCAACAUGAAAAGAUUAACAUCGUAUUAAAGCAGUUUGGUUGAAGACCUGAAUCCAUUCAGUGUCAAAAAUUCACUGUAAUAGAGAAAAUCAGUUUAUGGAAAUUUGUGCAAAUACUUUUUUGUGUUGAUUUUGGGAAGGAACCAUUUUCAUAAUUGUAAAUGGCAUAUUUAUAUCUGUAUGUGAACAUGUGAAUACAAGUGUAACAAAUACAUAUAAAUAUCUUUAGUCAUGUACAUGUACCUUUUGAUAAUGUUUUGACCUCUGUCUCCUCUGUACAAUUUUUAAUUGUCCUAGCAUAUUGUAUUCUAUUCAUGGCAGAAAAAUAAAGAAAUGUAUUGGUGAAAAUAGCACAUUUAAAAUAAAGUAUUUGCUGGUAACAAUUAGUCAAUUAGUCCCAUUGGGAUUAAUAAAGUAUCUAUCUAUCUAUCUAUCUAAAAGUAUUUUAAAAUCCUUAUCUUCCUACACUUUAUCACUGUAUUUUUACAAAAUCAUCUUUGUUGUUUCUCCCUAGAACAAUGCCACAGAAGAGGCUGAAGCGAAGGAUGUUCUUCUAGAACAAGACGGUGCUCUCUUGUCGUUUCCUGCUGCUAUUUCUGGACAAGGAGACGUAAUAAACUGGGAUUUUAUGUUUGUAUUUUUCAAUAGUUUUUCUAGUGCGCCAAAGUUUGCAGCCAAUUUUCCUAUAAUGUUAUUUUUUGAUUAUGAAUAUAUCACAGAAUUUCAUUGUGUUGUGUAUUAUUUGAAGAAAAAUGUGGAUUUUGUUUUUUUUUUUUUUUUUUGUUUUGUUUUUUUUUUAAUAGUUGGAGCUAAAAUUAGCUCCUUGUAAUAUGUUAGCUUAAUAGAAGGUGAAUUAUUGUUGCAAAUAGAAAAAUAGUGCUUGUAAAUAUUUUUGCAGAUUUGUAAUAUAUUUUUAUACCAUAAAAUGUACUGUAGAUUUUUUUGGCAUGAAAACUAAAUUGUAUAUACUGUGGUAGGAAUAAUGUUGAAGGAUUAUGUAAUUGAUUAGUGCUAAAUAGCUGUUUGAAACAGGCGCACCUUUCUUGCUAACAUUAUUUAAUUAGCAGACACUAUGUGGAUUAUGUGCUGAUUCUAUAUUUGCAGACACUUCUGUUUUGUAUCUUUAAAAGUGCUGUUCUGGAUUUAAAGCUUAAACAGAAUUAAUUUAAUAUCUGAUCAUGUGAAAUACUGAAUGUGUAUAUCUAAAUAACGUUUUUUUUUUAGUUUAUACAAGUUAAAAACAAUAGUUGUACCUUUAAGCACUUGAUUAUUCUUUUGCAAAUUCUGUAUUUUAAGGGGAGAAAAAAUAAAAUGUGCUUUAGCUUUUGCUGUUAAUUAAGUUUUUGUAAUAAAACAAAACAUAUGAAAAGCUUAUCCAA